CACGUAGGGUGCGAGCGUUGUCCGGAAUUAUUGGGCGUAAAGAGCUCGUAGGCGGUGUGUCGCGUCGGCCGUGAAAACUUACAGCUUAACUGUGAGCGUGCGGUCGAUACGGGCAUCACUGGAGUUCGGCAGGGGAGACUGGAAUUCCUGGUGUAGCGGUGAAAUGCGCAGAUAUCAGGAGGAACACCGGUGGCGAAGGCGGGUCUCUGGGCCGAUACUGACGCUGAGGAGCGAAAGCAUGGGGAGCGAACAGG
Molecule: ribosomal RNA, 254 nt
Filed under: uncultured bacterium
Lineage: Bacteria
Description: partial 16S ribosomal RNA
Rfam family: Bacterial small subunit ribosomal RNA
Source: RNAcentral